UGGGGGCACCCUGAUCAGCCAUGCCGCGUGUGUGAAGAAGGCCCUCGGGUUGUAAAGCACUUUCAGCGAGGAAGAACGCCUAAUGGUUAAUACCCGUUAGGAAAGACAUCACUCGCAGAAGAAGCACCGGCUAACUCCGUGCCAGCAGCCGCGGUAAUACGGAGGGUGCAAGCGUUAAUCGGAAUUACUGGGCGUAAAGCGCGCGUAGGCGGCUUAAUAAGCCGGUUGUGAAAGCCCCGGGCUCAACCUGGGAACGGCAUCCGGAACUGUUAAGCUAGAGUGCAGGAGAGGAAGGUAGAAUUCCCGGUGUAGCGGUGAAAUGCGUAGAGAUCGGGAGGAAUACCAGUGGCGAAGGCGGCCUUCUGGACUGACACUGACGCUGAGGUGCGAAAGCGUGGGUAGCAAACAGGAUUAGAUACCCUGGUAGUCCACGCCGUAAACGAUGUCGACCAGCCGUUGGGUGCCUUGAGCACUUUGUGGCGAAGUUAACGCGAUAAGUCGACCGCCUGGGGAGUACGGCCGCAAGGUUAAAACUCAAAUGAAUUGACGGGGGCCCGCACAAGCGGUGGAGCAUGUGGUUUAAUUCGAUGCAACGCGAAGAACCUUACCUACCCUUGACAUCCUGCGAACCCGGAAGAGAUUCCGGGGUGCCUUCGGGAGCGCAGAGACAGGUGCUGCAUGGCUGUCGUCAGCUCGUGUUGUGAAAUGGUUGGGGUAAGUCCCGUAACGAGCCGCAACCCUUGGUCCUUAUUUGCCAGCGCGUAAUGGCGGGAACUCUAAAGAGAACUGCCCGUGACAAACCGGAGGAAAGUGGGGGACGACGUCAAGUCAUCAUGGCCCUUA
Molecule: ribosomal RNA, 843 nt
Filed under: Halomonas sp. YCSA31
Lineage: Bacteria; Pseudomonadati; Pseudomonadota; Gammaproteobacteria; Oceanospirillales; Halomonadaceae
Description: bacterial SSU rRNA
Rfam family: Bacterial small subunit ribosomal RNA
Source: RNAcentral